Molecule: ribosomal RNA, 633 nt
Filed under: uncultured bacterium
Lineage: Bacteria
Description: bacterial SSU rRNA
Rfam family: Bacterial small subunit ribosomal RNA
Source: RNAcentral
AGAGUUUGAUUAUGGCUCAGGAUGAACGCUGGCGGCGUGCCUAACACAUGCAAGUCGAGCGAAGCGCUUAGAUUGGAUUCUUCGGAUGAAGAUCUUUGUGACUGAGCGGCGGACGGGUGAGUAACGCGUGGGCAACCUGCCUUACACAGGGGGAUAACAGUUAGAAAUGACUGCUAAUACCGCAUAAGACCGCAGUGCCGCAUGGUACAGCGGUAAAAACUCCGGUGGUGUAAGAUGGGCCCGCGUCUGAUUAGGUAGUUGGUGGGGUAACGGCCUACCAAGCCGACGAUCAGUAGCCGACCUGAGAGGGUGACCGGCCACAUUGGGACUGAGACACGGCCCAGACUCCUACGGGAGGCAGCAGUGGGGAAUAUUGCACAAUGGGGGAAACCCUGAUGCAGCGACGCCGCGUGAGCGAUGAAGUAUUUCGGUAUGUAAAGCUCUAUCAGCAGGGAAGAAAAUGACGGUACCUGACUAAGAAGCCCCGGCUAACUACGUGCCAGCAGCCGCGGUAAUACGUAGGGGGCAAGCGUUAUCCGGAUUUACUGGGUGUAAAGGGAGCGUAGACGGCUGUGCAAGCAAGAUGUGAAAGCCCGGGGCUCAACCCCGGGACUGCAUUUGGAACUGCGUGGC